Non-coding RNA from Podarcis lilfordi (Lilford's wall lizard), 85 nucleotides. NCBI's taxonomy places the organism in Eukaryota, Metazoa, Chordata, Lepidosauria, Squamata, Lacertidae. The record is from the annotation of a GenBank genome assembly.
UCCUGUGGUAGCUUGAUCUUACAGCACUUACUAGAGCAUGAGGCUCUUAACCUCAGGGUCAUGGGUUUGAACCCCAUAUUAGGCA